RNAcentral lists this ribosomal RNA (253 nucleotides) under uncultured bacterium. Its description in RNAcentral is "partial 16S ribosomal RNA". It matches the Rfam family "Bacterial small subunit ribosomal RNA", at positions 524 to 776 of the family's 1533-position model. The record is from RNAcentral.
UACGGAGGGAGCUAGCGUUGUUCGGAAUUACUGGGCGUAAAGCGCACGUAGGCGGCUUUGCAAGUUAGAGGUGAAAGCCCGGGGCUCAACUCCGGAAUUGCCUUUAAAACUGCAUCGCUAGAGUUGUGGAGAGGUAAGUGGAAUUCCGAGUGUAGAGGUGAAAUUCGUAGAUAUUCGGAAGAACACCAGUGGCGAAGGCGGCUCACUGGUCCGGUACUGACGCUGAGGUGCGAAAGCGUGGGGAGCAAACAGG